Meriones unguiculatus (Mongolian gerbil) is the source of this 533-nucleotide long non-coding RNA. RefSeq lists it as uncharacterized. The transcript has 3 exons. The record is from RefSeq and is a predicted model, not a curated record. Lineage: Eukaryota; Metazoa; Chordata; Mammalia; Rodentia; Muridae.
GGCCCAGGCUGCAAGUACUUCGGGAUCCUCCUGUGGCCUUGUACUCAGCUCAGAGAUGCAGUGUGAAUCUAAAACACCUGGAAAGCUCUAGGAUUCCAAUUUGCCUCCAGACCUGGACCGGAAACCCAUUCUGCUGGACCUGCAAAGAGCGGGCAAGAGCUGGACAGUGACCUCUACAGGGCCAGGCAGUCUUUCAGGGGUUGGCCCUUUCUGAGACCAAGGAAUAUGCUGCCGCUAGAGCUGACUCCACCAGACCCAGACACACGGGACCAUCAAAAGUGCAAUAGUGUAACUGGGCAGGUAAGCAGGCAGGCAAGCAUGAGUGCGAGCGCGACAGACACACACACACACACACACACACACACACACACGCCUGAUGUGUCCACACAAACCCUAGGCACACAUUCCAGCACUGACACAAGUGUGCUUUCAUCCACUCCGGGAACACUUGAGUAGUGCGUUCAUACGGAUAACCCCAGACAGACAUGCAAGCACAAAUACAUACUCACACACUGACAGAAAAGCAUCUAUAU